RNAcentral lists this ribosomal RNA (492 nucleotides) under uncultured bacterium. RNAcentral describes it as "partial 16S ribosomal RNA". It matches the Rfam family "Bacterial small subunit ribosomal RNA", at positions 29 to 507 of the family's 1533-position model. The record is from RNAcentral.
AGUGAACGCUGGCGGUAGGCCUAACACAUGCAAGUCGAACGGCAGCACAGUAAGAGCUUGCUCUUACGGGUGGCGAGUGGCGGACGGGUGAGGAAUACAUCGGAAUCUACUUUUUCGUGGGGGAUAACGUAGGGAAACUUACGCUAAUACCGCAUACGACCUACGGGUGAAAGCAGGGGAUCUUCGGACCUUGCGCGAUUGAAUGAGCCGAUGUCGGAUUAGCUAGUUGGCGGGGUAAAGGCCCACCAAGGCGACGAUCCGUAGCUGAUCUGAGAGGAUGAUCAGCCACACUGGAACUGAGACACGGUCCAGACUCCUACGGGAGGCAGCAGUGGGGGAUAUUGGACAAUGGGCGCAAGCCUGAUCCAGCCAUACCGCGUGGGUGAAGAAGGCCUUCGGGUUGUAAAGCCCUUUUGUUGGGAAAGAAAAGCAGCAGGUUAAUACCCCGCUGUUCUGACGGUACCCAAAGAAUAAGCACCGGCUAACUUCGUG